Molecule: long non-coding RNA, 8388 nt
Organism: Chlorocebus sabaeus (green monkey)
Lineage: Eukaryota; Metazoa; Chordata; Mammalia; Primates; Cercopithecidae
Source: RefSeq, a predicted model, not a curated record
UUUCAAAAAAUUGUUUUUCUUUUGCUGAACAGGACUUCUUAACAGUGGGUUUAAAAUAUUCAGUAAACCUUUAUUUAACGAGAUGUGGCUGAAAUAUCUAGGCUUUCUUGAUUAUUUAUAGAACACUUGCAUUGCAAAUGUAGCUUAAAUCUUAAGGACCCUAGGAUUGUUGGAAUCGUAAAUGAACAUCACACUUAGGAAUAUAGCUAGCCAAGGAGGGGAAAGAUCUCUACAAGAAAAAUUUUAAAAGCUACUCAAAGAAAUCAGAGAUAACACAAAUGAAAAACAAGUACACGGGGCAGCAAAAGGUAACGAAUGCCAACAAAGAGAUCUCAUUGAGAACGAAGAAAAUGGAGAAAACUACCACAUGGCAGAUGGGAGGCAGUGUUGGCAUGCCUCUCCCACUUGGAAGGACAGAUUAGUGUGUAGAUUUACACUGUGAACUUUUUUGCAAGAACUGAUGCAGGAACUUAACAGAAAAAUCAACAACCAAAAAAUUCACAUACACUUUGAAGAAGAAGCAGGGACCACCAGCCUACUCCAUGACACAAGCAAAAAACAUCACAUCCCCACAUUUUGAGGGGAGACAGCCCAGUCCAAAGCACACAUCCCCACUGGGAAUCUGGAAAUUCUGGCCACAAGGGAAGGCUAUAAUCCUAUGCAGAGCGGGAAUGGAUUUAGGGAGCCAGCAAAAUAUACAAACAGAAGCAGCAGCAGGAAGUGCCUUGCAGGCAUUCCCAGUCUUCAGUGUGAACCCAGGGAAGUCUUUCCUGACUACAUAUCACAGAGGCCCUUGGAGAAGUCAGCUAAUGAGCUCAGAGAGGGGUCACAGGGUAAAAGAAGCUCCCAACUGAAUUUUGUGAUAUAAUCUCAAGUGGGGUCACGUGCCCUAGAGCAGAACGCACAGGGGAGAGCUGGAAGUGCAUUGCAGACAUGAGCGCAGAAGGUGGGUGUCCAGCCUUGGGGGCAGACCGGGAGGGACAUGGCCUGAGCCAUGGUUAUUAUCUCUGUGGGAAAGCUGAUGAUCUGGGGCUGGUCUGAGUUUUGUGCACAGACUGCCUGGAUGUAAACCUGGCACUGUUAGUCGAGCAUUACAAGAAUGAAAUGAAUGAAAACUGCCUUGCCAACUCCAUGGGUGCUGAUUGAGGCUCACUGCCGCCCACUACUUCCCACUCGCUUUGUGAACUCUUCUGUGCAGCAGAGGCAGGGAAACUCUCCUCUGGAACAUUACCCCAGCAGCCUGAGAACCACCCCCUGGCCCUCGCAGGGGCUACAGCCUGCUUCAUUCAAGGACACUCAGAGUGCAGACCAACCUAACCCUGGACCCACUGGUGGUACCCCUCCACCUACCCUGGUAGCUAAACACAAAGAUACACUUUUAGGAGCUUCAUAGCCUCCCGACCCCCAUCUCUCAUUGCCUGAGAAACCACUUUCCCUGGGCAACUUAGGGCAACCUCAAAUCCCACUGCUACCACCACAGCUGGUGCUCUUUUGCAAGUGCCACCUCCUAGCUGGAGAACAACCAACACAGUCCACACAGCACCUCUAGGAAGAAUAAAGGGAACUGUUCCCAGAAAGGAGAAAACACCUGCAUGACCUCAGCUAUUACCACUGUGUACCACACCCAGGCCAACCAGAGGUCUUGAAUGGGCCCACAUGACGACUUCACUGCUCACAUAACCAGCAUUCAAGCACACUAAGCUUAUCUGCAUCCAAGGAAUCUCUGAGUCUGUGUUGUUCCUUGCCACCUCAAUCAGAGCUGGUGUUGGUAUCCACUGCUGGGAGACUUGAGGACAGGUCAUCUCACUGGAUCCUUUGCCAACAAAUCCAGCAUCAGCCUGGAGUCUGGGAGCCCCACUGGGUGUGUAGGCCCGGAAGAGCAGUAGCAAUCACCAUAGUCCAGCUCUCUGGAAGUCCCAUUUCGAUGGAAGGGAAGAGAGUACUGCAUAAGGGAACACCAGUGGGACAGAAAAACCUGAACGGCAGCCCCUUGAGUCCCAAGUCUUCCCGUUGUUGGGAAAUUUCUUACAGCAGACAAACAAUUGCAGAGCUGGGUGCAGUAGGAAAAGCCUGCACCUUUACCCCAACAGGCAGGCAGCUUCUGUGACUGAGAAAGGUCCUGGAGAAGCGGUCCUUGUUCCCCGCUGAUGUACCACUGAAGACACAACUGGGGCUACUCCCACAGGAACACAGAGUGCAUACACCUAUAGACAACCUUCCUGGAACAAUUCAUGAUGAUUGCACCCCCACAGGAGAAGCACUCUCCAGAUGCAGGCUUGCACAAGAGGCAGUCAUAAUUCUUCCCAACUUGGAACACCAACAUUUCUAUAGAUGAGAAGAGGUGCCUAUCUGAUCUGAACAGCCGGAACCCUGGGACAGGAGUGAAGCUAGGAUGGGGAUAGCUUUCCUGCUGACCUGGCAGGGGAGCUGAGUAAGCUCCCAUUCUUUACCAUGAUGAAACCUCACCACAUCUAACUGAGACGUCCCCUAACCACCUUCAUCAAGGCCAGGACCUCUGCCCACGAUUGGGCUUUACAUCUACACAUCUGCUUUAGCUACAAACAGUGCCUAUCCCAGCAUACCUUCUCUACUGGCCUGAAGCCUGAUUCAUCAACUCAGUAAGUAAAAUACUGAGGGAAAAUUUAAAAAGUAAAAAAUGUGCAUCACAGGAGAAUGAGAGAAACUUCAAAAGACACUUGCCACUUCAACCCCAAGGAGACAGUGAACUUGACCACCCACCAACUAUGAAACUACUACAACCCACAUCUGGGAAAGCCAGUGCACAUAGCCUCUCUACAACUAAGGAACUCACACACUAUUAUACACAGUGCUUUAUAGAAGCUUAUUAGUUCAAUUAAGUCACAUGUGUCUGUUUUUAUUUUCUUGCUUGUGUUUUUGUAACCUCACAACUGGAUUUCUUCACAGCCUGUGUAAGACUGCCUACAUAAUUCAUUUUAUGUGCCAUUAGUUAACCAUUCAACAGUAUGCAGAGAUAGGCAUUGCCCAUCCAGUGUUCUCAUAUCCUGUGAGGGAAAAAGAAAGAAACAACAUUUGCUAGGUAGGCCAGUGACAGAAAUGGAUUCAAAACAUCAGUGUGUGAAGCUAAAUGAUGGUCACCUUGUGCCUGUCCUGGAAUUUGGCACUGGUGCACCUCUAGAGGUAAUAAUAAUAUUUUUAGUGUUGAGUGUUCAAAGGAGCAAAGCUAGAAUAGGUGGAAGCUGAUUUGUGUUCCUGUGUGCUCUGCAUGACUGCCGUGGUCUUAGUUUCCCUAGGGUAGAGCUGUGCUCUGUGUACAAAGAGAAAACGUGAAUCUUUGUUCUGCAAUGCAGUCUGGUCAAGGGGUCAUCUACUGCUUAUUUGGGGCACUGUUUUGUCUUCCAUUCAUGUUUAUUUCACAACUUAUUAGAAUCUAUGAAACCCAGUAGGAAGAACACUGCCGUCUGCUCCCCUCUUUUAGGUAUUAAUUGCAAUAGGAGUGGUUUCGCUGUUUCUUUCUAUAGUAAGAUAAAUAUAUUCUUCUUCUAAGAGGACAUGAUCCAGUGAAAUCUUUAUGGCAAAAGUUAAUGGAGAUAGGGUGCAUGAAAUCUAUUUGGAGAGUAUCACUGUUCUGAUGGGUGAUCUUGUGAACUACAUGGUAAUACCGGACCUGGACUAAAGAGAAUUUCCCAAGUACUAUUCUCACCUCUGGGAAAAUUACAUGGAAGGAAAAAUAUCCUCAUUUUGAGAAAAAAAAAUAGAACCUAGUUAAGAAAGUCUAAAUUCUUGGUCCUCGUUAGUGUGCAUCAGAUUUGUAUGAAAAUGGUAAGUUGGUCCUCUGACACGCAAGUGAACAAAAUUCAGAGUUUAUUUUCUAGACUGAACUAUUUCUACACUGGAAGAACGCUUGUAUCCCAAGACUGUCCUGUCACUACAAAGUGUGUGAAUAGGGACUAGUUACACCAAAUUUGUGCUUCACUUUUUCAACUAUAAGUUGUAAGGACUUACAUAUAUAUUUUGAAGACCAUGGACAGGGAUGGUUUACUUUGUAAUAUAGAUAAGCAGGGAGAGGAUGUAAGGAUGGGGACACCCCUGAAGCUCCAGCCUUGAUAAGCCUCUGAGUGUUCACAUAGCAAAGAAAAGAUCAAGAAUGCUAUGAGGACAGGGCCGUGACUCCCAGUAUUUAACUUGUUGUAAUUUCAUGGGAAAAAAGAAAGCUUCUGAAAUACUUUUAAACAGGGAAAAUACUUUGUGUUAUUUAUGUUUCUGCAUUUAAAAUAUAUACAUUCGAAUAUGCUCCCAAAUUUAUUACAUAAGUCAAUAAUUGUAAAUGUCACUGCAAUUUGAUUUUUUUCCUAAAAGAGUUGACUUUAACUUCGGAUCUGAAACCCACUUUAAUCUCUUACUGUCUGCAGUUUAUUUUUUAUCUAUAAAUCAACAUCCUUAAAUCCUACAUCUUUACUCCUAGUAUUUAGUUCUGUCAUGCAGGCAGAAUGACUAAUGGCUGUGUAGAAAAGAAUUAACAUAAUAGAUUGCUCUCCAUAGAUGUGCCUAUUUCCAAAACGGACCUGGCUGGUAUCUGAGAAGGUGGUUUUCUCACUAUUUCCUAAUUGAAAAAGAUGGUGGCUGUAAGUAACUGCUUGUGCAAACUGUGGGGCUUGUGUGCACCUGCUUUCCUUUGGGAGACUGGACUUUUUGUCUGUGUUAGGUAGAAUGGGUCAAUGUAACCAGCAACCAGUGAAAAUCUUAGGAACGGAUAUAUGGGGAGCAACACUUGUAGACAACACUUUCCAUAUAUCGUCAAAAUAUGAUGCUGGAGGAAGUCAGUGUGUUCCAUGCAAGAUCAUGAGACAGGAAUCACAGGAGCUUGCACUGUAUUCCUUCAUAAUUCCUUCCACGUGCCUUUUUUCUUGUGUUAAUUUCACUACAUUGAAACUCAUUAAGAUUAUAUCUAUAAGAGUAGGUUGAGUCCUGUUGAUUUUUACAGCAAAUUUCCAAAACUGGAUGUGUUCUUGGGAACCUUCAGGCCAGUGGUCAACCAGUGAUUUUCUCGUAAUGAAGAAGUUCCUGGGAUGCCCAAUCUUCAUUACCAACCAGGAAAGACCCAGGCAGACUGGGAUGGGCUUGUGAUCUUGCAUGGAGAACUGAUCCAAGACAUGAGGAACAACUCAUUUAUGUCAAGGUCAAUGCUUGUACCUGAACUACCUCCCAAGCACAUCAAUCAGCAAAUACUAACUACUUUUAGUUGCUCCUCCAGGUUCUUUGGAAUAGAGCUACAGAGGUCAUUAAAUUGGCAGUAGAAGCUGGAUUCUACCCAUUUCUACAAUAAUGAGGAGCAGGUUGGAAAGACCAUCUGAAGCAAGAGUUUAGAUGGCAGUGUGAAGAGAGAAGACAUAUUCUAUACUUCAAAUGUACUGUGCCUGUGAUGAGCUUGUUUGCCCAGUCAGGUGAGGAGCUGAUCCCAAAAGAUGAAAAUGGAGAGGUACUAUUUGACACACUGGAUCUCUGUGCCACGUGGGAUGUGAGUGCUACGAGGCCAUGGAGAAGUGUAAAGACGCAGGAUUGGCCAGGUCCAUCGGGGUGUCCAACUUCAACUGAAGGCAGUUUGAGAUGAUCCUCAACAAGCCAGAGCUCAAGUAGAAGCCCGUCUGCAACCAGGGUGGACCCAAACUCCCCGGUUCCCUUGGAGGACCCAGUCCUUUGUGCCUUGGCAAAAAACCACAAGUGAACCCCAGCCCUGACUGCCCUGCGCUACCAGCAGCAGCAUGGGGUUGUGGUCCUGGCCAAGAGCCUCAGUGAGCAGCGGAUCAGAGAGAACAUGAAGGAAAUACAUUUUAUAAGUCUACGGCUACCUUGGUGACUCAUCUGAAGAACCUGGGCAAGGAAAAUUGAAAAUCUUCUGGAAAAGAUUUACUAUUCUAGAUGCCAUUAAAAACAUUCAUGAUUCAUGACAGGAGGGCAAAACACUAACUUGAACAGGAGUUUGGAGGAAGUGAAUUCAACGCUCAUGGAUGACUUGGAGGAAUGCAAGAUUUCAGUGGAGAAAGUAAUUGCAGAUGUGGUAGAAAUAGCAAGAGAACUAGAAUUCAAAUUGGAGCUUGAAUGUUACAGAAUGCUUGCAAUCUCAUGAUGUAAUUUUAACAAACGAGAAAUGCUGCUUAUGAAUGAGCAAGAAAAGUGGUUUGGUGAAAUGGAUUCCAUUUCUUGGGAAAAUGUUGUAAACAUUGUUGGAAUGGCAGCAAAGGAUUUAGAACAUUACAGAAGCAUAGUUGAUAAGGCCAUGACAGUGUUUGAGAGAAUUAUCUCUAAUGCUAUCAUGUCCCUAUAAUGACAGAGUUGCCUAACAAAGCCAAUCUCAGAAGAUAGUCCAGGCGUUAUGCAACACAUGACUGUCACUGGUGACAGGGAAGGAGUCACUUGUGCCAUUUUCAGUGUUUUCCUACGAGGUUUAUAGCUUUCUAUCCUUCAUAUCCACCGUUACUACCAUUGUGUGAGGUUGCGUGAUUUUUUAAAUGAAGUUUGGAUUCCCUUCUGAUUUCCUCUUGCAUAUAUUCUACAAUUAUUCUUUUUGUGAUGGCUGUGGAGAUGACAAAAACUUUAUAAAGUUACAAUAAUUUUCUUUGAAUCAAUAUGAAUUUAACUUCAAUUUCAUGUAAAAACCAUCUACGUCCCCAUGUUUUCUCCACUUCACAUGGUUUUGGUCAGUAAUUACAGCUUCCUACAUUGCACACAUAUUAACUUAGAAUUAUACUUACUUCUAGACAUUUAUAUUUUAAAUCUUGAAGUAAAAUAAUGAGUAGAAUCCAAACUUUCAAAAAUACAUGAUUUUAUGUUACCGUAUAUUCACAUUUACAAGAAGUCUUUAUAACUCUAUAUGGCUAUAAGUUACUAUUUCCUUUCAUUCAACCUGAAUUCUUCCCUUCAGCAUUUCUUUGAGAGAAAAAAUAGUAAAAUUAGUGAUUGGAGGUCCCUAUAAAAUUUUCUUAUAUCACAAGUGUUCCUGAAAUCAGGUGUUUGGCUUUAUGAAAUUCUGAGUAAUUUUUUUUUCUUUUUUAACCAUAAGAGUUUUAUAAAAAUGGAUGGUGACAAGCUGGAAAAAGUCCAUAGCAGUUUUAGUAUUUACAAAUGACUGACCCAAUGAUUAUUUCACAUCUUGAAGUCAGAGUUACACGUGCAAAAGAGAUUUGAAAUAUGAAAGUUUGCUUAAGCCUUACACACUUGACUACUAAGUUUUAACAAAAUGUCAAUCUUUUCUUGACAGUUAUAUCAAUCGGGUUUAUGAGAUGUGAAAUUAUCAUUCCUUAGACUCAGAAAGUUAAGGUAGAACAGGAUGGCCGUGGUUUACAUGAGGUUUCUUUGAGACUUGCUAAGUGUGAAUGUCGUUUAGACUUUAAUGUGGAGAUGCAGAGUUCACACUGUGAUCUUCCAUUGUAGAAUUUGGAGGAAAAAUCUGAGCUAGAAAUAUUUGUGGGGGGGUUUCUCUGCCUAGAGGUGAUAUUUAAUGCAGAGAAUAUCUAAGAUCAUCAACGGAAUGACAGUGGACCAAAAAUAAUCCAAAAAAACUGGUCUAGGGCCCUCUAAAGUUUAUGGCCUCCUCCAAUUUUACAGAGUAAGUAAUUUACAGAAAAAUUGUGAGCUGCAAAACUUGCUGGGAUGCCUAUCAGCUCUGAGACAUGCCUUGAGAAGGAAUCUCUGAAGGGGUUAACGUGGCUACUAGAGUAAGAAGAGUGGCGGGUAAAUGUGUUAGAAAGUGUGCCCAGCUUAAAAACCAGUGUUCUCAAAAUGCUUUGAUCAUUAAGCCCUGAGACUAUCCCACAUUUUCAAAAGUGUUGUCUGAAAUGAAAAUCAUGUCUUCAUGAUUAGCUGAUUUACUUAGUUCCCCUGAAAAUUAUGUAUAAGAAUGAAAUGCCUUUGUAAGAGUUGUUCUUAAAAUUUACCAAUGUUUGAAAACAGUGUACUGUUUUACAUACCCUGUUUCCAAAAGAUGCUUGAAGUCUUGGAACACAUGAUUUAUUAGAUUUAUUAUUUCCCAUUUUAAUCUUGAGUGCAAUACAUAAUGACUCUGGGAUAUUUUUGUUUUAUACUUGUAACUAUGCUUUGCUUAAUGUUAAAACAUUUAAAAGAUUGAAUAUAACCAAUGAAAUGCACAUUUUUACAAUCUAAGAAUAUUUUCUAAAUAUGAGGUAGUCAGGGGAAUGUGAUUAGUCAAUGAUGUCUUUGAUGUCCUGCCCCAUCAUAGACCAAUAGGGUCAACGCUGUGACUGGGCACACAUCAAAGAUUCAUGCCUGACUCUCAGCUGUGGGGUUUGUUAAAACAUUGUGGAAACUUCCCUUUUAUAAACAAGAAAUAAUGAUCAAAAAAAAAAAAAAAGGGGGUACUGAAAUGUUUUUACAAGCGGAGAUGUGCUUGAC